UACAGAGGGUGCAAGCGUUGUUCGGAAUUAUUGGGCGUAAAGCGCGUGUAGGCGGCUUUGCAAGUCGGGUGUGAAAGCCCUCAGCUCAACUGAGGAAGUGCGCCCGAAACUGCAGAGCUUGAGUGCCGGAGAGGGUGGCGGAAUUCCCGGUGUAGUGGUGGAAUGCGUAGAUAUCGGGAGGAACACCAGUGGCGAAGGCGGCUACCUGGACCGGUUCUGACACUGAGGAGCGAAAGCGUGGGGAGCGAUCCGG
Molecule: ribosomal RNA, 253 nt
Filed under: uncultured bacterium
Lineage: Bacteria
Description: partial 16S ribosomal RNA
Rfam family: Bacterial small subunit ribosomal RNA
Source: RNAcentral